This 81-nucleotide ribosomal RNA is filed under the name Vibrio parahaemolyticus. Its description in RNAcentral is "partial 16S ribosomal RNA". It matches the Rfam family "Bacterial small subunit ribosomal RNA", at positions 1 to 78 of the family's 1533-position model. The record is from RNAcentral. Lineage: Bacteria; Pseudomonadati; Pseudomonadota; Gammaproteobacteria; Vibrionales; Vibrionaceae.
CUUAAAUUGAAGAGUUUGAUCAUGGCUCAGAUUGAACGCUGGCGGCAGGCCUAACACAUGCAAGUCGAGCGGAAAAGAACU